Molecule: ribosomal RNA, 293 nt
Filed under: uncultured eukaryote
Lineage: Eukaryota
Description: partial 18S ribosomal RNA
Rfam family: Eukaryotic small subunit ribosomal RNA
Source: RNAcentral
GGUUGAUCCUGCCAGUAGUCAUAUGCUUGUCUCAAAGAUUAAGCCAUGCAUGUCUAAGUAUAAGCAAUUAUACGGCGAAACUGCGAAUGGCUCAUUAAAUCAGUUAUCGUUUAUUUGAUAGCCCCUUACUACUUGGAUAACCGUGGUAAUUCUAGAGCUAAUACAUGCUGAAAACCCCGACUUCGGAAGGGAUGUAUUUAUUAGAUUAAAAACCAAUGCCCCUCGGGGCUCACUGGUGAUUCAUGAUAACUUAUCGAAUCGCACGGCCUUGCGCCGGCGAUGGCUCAUUCAAA